This 449-nucleotide ribosomal RNA is filed under the name uncultured bacterium. Its description in RNAcentral is "partial 16S ribosomal RNA". It matches the Rfam family "Bacterial small subunit ribosomal RNA", at positions 29 to 523 of the family's 1533-position model. The record is from RNAcentral.
AACGAACGCUGGCGGCAUGCCUAACACAUGCAAGUCGAACGAGAUCUUCGGGUCUAGUGGCGCACGGGUGCGUAACGCGUGGGAAUCUGCCCUUUGGUUCGGAAUAACAGUUGGAAACGACUGCUAAUACCGGAUGAUGACGAAAGUCCAAAGAUUUAUCGCCAGGGGAUGAGCCCGCGUAGGAUUAGCUAGUUGGUGUGGUAAAGGCGCACCAAGGCGACGAUCCUUAGCUGGUCUGAGAGGAUGAUCAGCCACACUGGGACUGAGACACGGCCCAGACUCCUACGGGAGGCAGCAGUGGGGAAUAUUGGACAAUGGGCGAAAGCCUGAUCCAGCAAUGCCGCGUGAGUGAUAAAGGCCUUAGGGUUGUAAAGCUCUUUUACCCGGGAUGAUAAUGACAGUACCGGGAGAAUAAGCUCCGGCUAACUCCGUGCCAGCCGCCGCAGUAA